GAGAGUUAAACAGUACGUGAAAUUGUUGAAAGGGAAACGAUUGAAGCCAGUCGUACCUUCGGGUAAUCAGCCUUUUCGGGUGCGAUUCUGUGGGGUUUGAUGAGCUUAACACCUUCAUGCUCUGCAUAUUCGUGCUCUUGGGUGUACUUGCCCGUGUGGUUGGUUAACAUCAAUUUUGGUGGUCAUAAAAUGACUGGAGGAAUGUAGCUUCGAUCUUGUAUUGAAGUGUUAUAGCCUUCGGUAGAUGUGAUGAUCGAGAUUGAGGAUUGCAACGGAUACCUUUCGGGGCUACCUGUCUGAUCUCUGAUCGUUGCUCUGGUGCCGAAAGCUUGCUUACGGUUAUCAAAGUCGAUGGUCAAUAGGUUAGAAUGGGUUAAAUUCGUUAAGGAUGUUGACGUAAUGGCUUUAAACGA
RNAcentral lists this ribosomal RNA (413 nucleotides) under uncultured Rhizophagus. RNAcentral's name for it is "partial 28S ribosomal RNA". Lineage: Eukaryota; Fungi; Glomeromycota; Glomeromycetes; Glomerales; Glomeraceae. The record is from RNAcentral.